GACGAACGCUGGCGGCGUGCUUAACACAUGCAAGUCGAACGGAAAGGCCCUGCUUGCAGGGUACUCGAGUGGCGAACGGGUGAGUAACACGUGGGUGAUCUGCCCUGCACUUCGGGAUAAGCUUGGGAAACUGGGUCUAAUACCGGAUAGGAGCCAUCUUUAGUGUGGUGGUUGGAAAGUUUUUUCGGUGUAGGGUGAGCUCGCGGCCUAUCAGCUUGUUGGUGGGGUAAUGGCCUACCAAGGCGGCGACGGGUAGCCGGCCUGAGAGGGUGUACGGCCACAUUGGGACUGAGAUACGGCCCAGACUCCUACGGGAGGCAGCAGUGGGGAAUAUUGCACAAUGGGCGCAAGCCUGAUGCAGCGACGCCGCGUGGGGGAUGAAGGCCUUCGGGUUGUAAACUCCUUUCGCUAGGGACGAAGCUUUGUGUGACGGUACCUAGAUAAGAAGCACCGGCUAACUACGUG
This 465-nucleotide ribosomal RNA is filed under the name uncultured bacterium. RNAcentral describes it as "partial 16S ribosomal RNA". It matches the Rfam family "Bacterial small subunit ribosomal RNA", at positions 28 to 507 of the family's 1533-position model. The record is from RNAcentral.